RNAcentral lists this non-coding RNA (155 nucleotides) under Magnetovibrio sp. RNAcentral describes it as "6S RNA". It matches the Rfam family "6S / SsrS RNA". From Rfam's summary of the family: E. coli 6S RNA was the first non coding RNA to be sequenced, but its function was unknown until recently. It consists of 184 nucleotides that fold into an extended hairpin structure with a large single-stranded internal bulge. The 6S RNA specifically associates with RNA polymerase holoenzyme containing the sigma70 specificity factor. The record is from RNAcentral. Lineage: Bacteria; Pseudomonadati; Pseudomonadota; Alphaproteobacteria; Rhodospirillales; Magnetovibrionaceae.
CGGUAGCUGCGAUUCACGUUAGGUCAUAAAAUCCCGGGGCCAACGAUGACUUCUAGGGAGCUGUCCCUGUCCGACUUGUGGGUCGGAUAAACGGUGCCCACCUGCAUUUCGCAGGCCUGGAGGAUCGAGAUGGCCGACGGUUUGGUGGCGCCGCC